Haliotis rubra (blacklip abalone) is the source of this 1873-nucleotide long non-coding RNA. RefSeq lists it as uncharacterized. The record is from RefSeq and is a predicted model, not a curated record. NCBI's taxonomy places the organism in Eukaryota, Metazoa, Mollusca, Gastropoda, Lepetellida, Haliotidae. The transcript is spliced from 4 exons.
GCUGCAAGAGUUGUAUGAUCCCCAGGGAGUUUAGAUUGACAAUAUGAUGUGCCAUUGAGAUUGACAUCCAGUGAACGAGGGAAAAACGAAGCGCCUUCGAGCAGCUAAGCUGAGCUGGAUAUCGGCGCUAUACAAAUGUUAGUAUGCAAUGCUAUGCUAUGCUAUAUACCACACGAAUGAAUGUAAUCUAUCAUGUCAUAGGUUAAACUAUUGAAUGUAAUAUAUCAUGUUAUGUCACACGACUGAAUGUAAUAUGUCAUGUUAUAUCACACUAAUGAGUAUAAUAUGUCAUGUUAUACCACACGACUGAAUGUAAUAUAUCGCGUUACACUACAGGACUGAAUGCAAUAUAUCAUGUUAUACCACACUAUUGAAUGAAAUAUAUCAUGUUAUACCACACUAUUGAAUGUAAUAUAUUAUGUUAUAUCACACGACUGAAUGUAAUAUAUCGUGUUAUACCACGCGGUAGAUUGUAAUAUAUCAUGUUAUACCACACUACUGAAUGUAAUAUAUUAUGUUAUACCACACUAUUGAAUGUAAUAUAUUAUGUUAUACCACAGGGUAGAUUGUAAUAUAUUAUGUUAUACCACACUAUUGAAUGUAAUAUAUCAUGUUAUACCGCAUGGUAAAUUGUAAUAUAUCAUGUUUUACCACACAACUGAAAGUUAUAAAUCAUGUUAUACCACACUAUUGAAUGUAAUAUAUUAUGUUAUACCACACUACUGAAUGUAAUAUAUUAUGUUAUACCACACUAUUGAAUGUAAUAUAUUAUGUUAUACCACAGGGUAGAUUGUAAUAUAUUAUGUUAUACCACACUAUUGAAUGUAAUAUAUCAUGUUAUACCGCAUGGUAAAUUGUAAUAUAUCAUGUUUUACCACACAACUGAAAGUUAUAAAUCAUGUUAUACCACACUAUUGAAUGUAAUAUAUUAUGUUACAUCACACGACGUAUACCAUAACACACGGGUGAUACAUAACGUAUGCCAUACCACACGGGUGAUACAUAACGUAUGCCAUACCACACGGGUGAGACAUAACGUAUGCCAUACCACACGGGUGAUACAUAGCGUAUGCCAUACCGCACGGGUCAUACAUUGCGUAUGCCAUACCACACGGGAGAGACAUAACGUAUACCAUACCACACGGGUGAUACAUAACGUAUACCAUACCACGCGGGUGAUACAUCACGUAUGCAAUACAACACACAUGUGAGACAUAACGUAAACCAUACCACAUUGGUGAGACAUAACGUAUGCCAUACCACACGGAUGAUCCAUAACGUAUACCAUACCACGCAGUGAGACAUAACGUAUGCCAUACCGCACGGGUGAGAUAUAGCGCAUGCCAUACCACACGGGUGAGACAUAACGUAUGCCAUACCACACGGGUGAUACAUAACGUAUGCCAUACCAUACGGUGAGACAUAACAUAUCCCAUACCACACGGUGAGACAUAACGUAAACCAUACCACACGGUGAGACAUAACGUAUACCAUACCAUAUGGAUGCCAUACCACACGGGUGAGACAUAUAGUGUGCGAUACGACACGGUGAGUUAUAUAGUGUGACAUACCACACAUGGGUGAAACAUAACGUUUGCCAUACCACACACUGGUAAGAUAUAACGUAUAUCAUAACCAUGGGUGAGACAUAACAUAUCCCAUACCACACGGGUGAGAUAUAGCGUAUGCCAUACCACACGGGUGAGACUUAACGUAUGCCAUACCACACGGGUGAGAUAUAGCGUAUGCCAUACCACACGGGUGAGACAUAACGUAUGCCAUACCACACGGGUGAUACAUAGCGUAUGCCAUACCACACGUUUGAUACAUAGCGUAUGCUAUACCACACGAGUGAGACAUAACGUAUACCAUG